RNAcentral lists this ribosomal RNA (229 nucleotides) under uncultured bacterium. RNAcentral describes it as "partial 16S ribosomal RNA". It matches the Rfam family "Bacterial small subunit ribosomal RNA", at positions 568 to 796 of the family's 1533-position model. The record is from RNAcentral.
UCCGUAGGUGGAUCAAUCAGUCAGUGGUGAAAUCCUGCGGCUUAACCGUAGAAUUGCCAUUGAUACUGUUGUCCUUGAGUAUAGUUGAAGUGGGCGGAAUAUGUAAUGUAGCGGUGAAAUGCAUAGAUAUUACAUAGAACACCAAUUGCGAAGGCAGCUCACUAAGCUAUCACUGACGCUGAGGCACGAAAGCGUGGGGAGCGAACAGGAUUAGAUACCCUGGUAGUCC